This 1371-nucleotide long non-coding RNA is filed under the name Dicentrarchus labrax (European seabass). RNAcentral describes it as "lncRNA (ENSDLAG00005032377.1)". Lineage: Eukaryota; Metazoa; Chordata; Actinopteri; Moronidae. The record is from RNAcentral.
GCCCACUCUUUUCAUUUCAGUGACCUCGGGUGAACAGCGAGGAUAAUCAUCCGCAUCCACUAUCAUACAGAGUCGGAGCCAUUAGACGCAGUCUAGAGCCCUUUGAUUUGCAUCUGAGCAUGCUUACAUGUACGAAGGGUUGCAGAUACUCAUAUCACAGGUUUCAAGUUUGGGAUCCCUGAAUUGUCACAGCAAGAUGCCAAUCAAGGUAGAAAAUCUAGGACACAUGGAGUACCACUGAGUGGACACAGAGCAGCUUUAUUAUUGUCAGAGGAGUAAAUGACUUCAGGUGUUCAUCCACUGGCCUCGUCCUCCAGUGCAGAAAAAGAUGUUCUGAUUGACAGUGAUCAGUGAUUUGUCCCAUACUGAGGUAACUAACGCUAUUACCAUCAAAAAAAGCAAGCCUACAACACAAUCUGAAUGACAAUUAUUGUCAAAUUAUUCCCUUGAAACAUAAUAAUUCAUUUCAAGUGGAGCAAAAAUAACACAGGAAUUAUCUGGCCCUGCAAUAAUAGUAAUUAUAAAGUGCUUCGUUCAUGCGUGCCGUUCGACUGAACUAUGAAAAGCUUUUACAAAAGGGCCUCUUCUGAUUCGGGGAUAGGCCUAUGAGAUUUUGAAUCUUUAAUAAAGCUUUAUUCAGGUUUGAGCUUUGGGUUCUAUUCUGUAAUAUAUUUACUAUCUGUAAAUUGGGUUUGUUGUCCAUCUAAUUCUGUUCAUCUAGUAGCUGAAAGGUCAUGUUUAUGAUUUUACAGUGUCGCUCUAAAAUACUAAACAGGUUUGCAUUAGGUUGUAAAGCAUUAUCAUCACUGUGUCAUUUUUAUUCAGAUGUAACCUGAUUCUGACCCACUCAGUUUGUGAGUCUACCAGUAAAUAACAGCUGUGCUUGAGGGACAUAUUUCUAUAGCUUUGGCCAUCAGUUAUAAUAACAUUAACAGGCGUCCAGGGGGGCAAUUGAGCAUUUUGUUAACAAAUCAGUAGGUUGACAAUAUCAUCCAGUCCGACUAAAACUAAAUAGCUUUUUUUGUCUGCUUCAAGCAUAUAUUUCUGCUCUGUAUAUCACUUGUCUUGUGUUUUUCUUUGCUAAAAAAAAUCAGAAACCAAAAGAGAAAAUUGGUUUCCUGAUGGUGCCCCCUAGUUUUGAAUUGAGGGACACCACUCCAGCCAGCUGAGACAAAAAUACUUUUACUUUACUAAUACUUUUUCCCUUUUUUAUGGAAGCCCUAAAGGGCCAUGCAUUCAUACAUUUUAUUUCCUCCGUUUUAGUGUGCUAAAAGUCACGCCAGCUUGCUAACAAUCUAUCGACAUAUCUAUCUAGUGGGCUAGAUGUGUGUUUCACUGGUCAUUAAAGCCAUAAUUCAUGGGCAUCAUGAA